GGCUCUGUAGCUCAGUGGUUAGAGCACUGGGUUUGUAAACUAGGGGUUGUGAGUUCAAAUCUCACUAGGGCCU
Thalassophryne amazonica is the source of this 73-nucleotide non-coding RNA. NCBI's taxonomy places the organism in Eukaryota, Metazoa, Chordata, Actinopteri, Batrachoidiformes, Batrachoididae. The record is from the annotation of a RefSeq genome assembly.